GGGAGCUUGCUCCCUGAUAUUAGCGGCGGACGGGUGAGUAACACGUGGGCAACCUGCCCUGCAGAUGGGGAUAACUCCGGGAAACCGGGGCUAAUACCGAAUAAUCGGUUCUUCCGCAUGGAAGAACUCUGAAAGACGGUUUCGGCUGUCACUGCAGGAUGGGCCCGCGGCGCAUUAGCUAGUUGGUGGGGUAACGGCCUACCAAGGCGACGAUGCGUAGCCGACCUGAGAGGGUGAUCGGCCACACUGGGACUGAGACACGGCCCAGACUCCUACGGGAGGCAGCAGUAGGGAAUCUUCCACAAUGGACGAAAGUCUGAUGGAGCAACGCCGCGUGAGCGAAGAAGGUUUUCGGAUCGUAAAGCUCUGUUGCGAGGGAAGAACAAGUACGGGAGUAACUGCCCGUACCUUGACGGUACCUCGUUAGAAAGCCACGGCUAACUACGUGCCAGCAGCCGCGGUAAUACGUAGGUGGCAAGCGUUGUCCGGAAUUAUUGGGCGUAAAGCGCGCGCAGACGGUCCUUUAAGUCUGAUGUGAAAGCCCACGGCUCAACCGUGGAGGGUCAUUGGAAACUGGAGGACUUGAGUACAGAAGAGGAAAGUGGAAUUCCACGUGUAGCGGUGAAAUGCGUAGAGAUGUGGAGGAACACCAGUGGCGAAGGCGACUUUCUGGUCUGUAACUGACGUUGAGGCGCGAAAGCGUGGGGAGCAAACAGGAUUAGAUACCCUGGUAGUCCACGCCGUAAACGAUGAGUGCUAAGUGUUAGGGGGUUUCCGCCCCUUAGUGCUGCAGCUAACGCAU
RNAcentral lists this ribosomal RNA (802 nucleotides) under Sporosarcina thermotolerans. RNAcentral's name for it is "bacterial SSU rRNA". It matches the Rfam family "Bacterial small subunit ribosomal RNA", at positions 74 to 860 of the family's 1533-position model. Lineage: Bacteria; Bacillati; Bacillota; Bacilli; Caryophanales; Caryophanaceae. The record is from RNAcentral.